UUGGCCUCCAGAGCAGGGGCGAUGUUCACAGAACCCGAAAUCAGCAGUUUGGGAAACUGCAUCCUAAGGAAAGGAAAUCUACUGGACUGGGGAAAAAAAGAAGCUGAGAGGACCCCUCAGCAAGAUCCGGUUGGUCUCAAACUCCUGGGCUCAAGUGAUCCUCCUCCCUCAGCCUCCCAUGAGAUGACUUUGACCAGAGAAGAAGAUGAGAUUGAGCUGGACGUGUGAAGGCCAAGAGGGAAAGUGGGCUUCAGCAGUGCUGUGGAGUAGAACUUUCUGU
Long non-coding RNA from Cercocebus atys (sooty mangabey), 280 nucleotides. RefSeq lists it as uncharacterized. The record is from RefSeq and is a predicted model, not a curated record. NCBI's taxonomy places the organism in Eukaryota, Metazoa, Chordata, Mammalia, Primates, Cercopithecidae. The transcript has 3 exons.